GACGAACGCUGGCGGCGUGCUUAACACAUGCAAGUCGAACGGAAAGGCCCUGCUUUUGUGGGGUGCUCGAGUGGCGAACGGGUGAGUAACACGUGAGUAACCUGCCCUUGACUUUGGGAUAACUUCAGGAAACUGGGGCUAAUACCGGAUAGGAGCUCCUGCUGCAUGGUGGGGGUUGGAAAGUUUCGGCGGUUGGGGAUGGACUCGCGGCUUAUCAGCUUGUUGGUGGGGUAGUGGCUUACCAAGGCUUUGACGGGUAGCCGGCCUGAGAGGGUGAACGGCCACAUUGGGACUGAGAUACGGCCCAGACUCCUACGGGAGGCAGCAGUGGGGAAUAUUGCACCAUGGGCGGAAGCCUGAUGCAGCAACGCCGCGUGCGGGAUGACGGCCUUCGGGUUGUAAACCGCUUUCGCCUGUGACGAAGCGUGAGUGACGGUAAUGGGUAAAGAAGCACCGGCUAACUACGUG
Molecule: ribosomal RNA, 468 nt
Filed under: uncultured bacterium
Lineage: Bacteria
Description: partial 16S ribosomal RNA
Rfam family: Bacterial small subunit ribosomal RNA
Source: RNAcentral